GAUUCUGCCAAUUGGUCCAUCUUUUAGAUGAGUACUGGUUGUGUGGGGUCUAUCCGCCUGGUGAUACGUAAUGUCCUUUAUUGGAUGUUGCGGGUAGUCAGGACCUAUACCUUGAGAAAAUUAGAGUGUUCAAAGCAGGCCUACGCCUGAAUACGUUAGCAUGGAAUAAUAGAAUAGGACGUGCGGUUCUAUUUUGUUGGUUUCUAGAGUCGCCGUA
Molecule: ribosomal RNA, 217 nt
Filed under: Campeiostachys nutans
Lineage: Eukaryota; Viridiplantae; Streptophyta; Magnoliopsida; Poales; Poaceae
Description: Elymus nutans partial small subunit ribosomal RNA
Rfam family: Eukaryotic small subunit ribosomal RNA (bases 77-217)
Source: RNAcentral